GACGAACGCUGGCGGCGUGCUUAACACAUGCAAGUCGAACGGAAAGGCCCUGCUUUUGUGGGGUGCUCGAGUGGCGAACGGGUGAGUAACACGUGAGUAACCUGCCCUUGACUUUGGGAUAACUUCAGGAAACUGGGGCUAAUACCGGAUAGGAGCUCCUGCUGCAUGGUGGGGGUUGGAAAGUUUCGGCGGUUGGGGAUGGACUCGCGGCUUAUCAGCUUGUUGGUGGGGUAGUGGCUUACCAAGGCUUUGACGGGUAGCCGGCCUGAGAGGGUGACCGGCGACAUUGGGACUGAGAUACGGCGCAGACGCCUACGGGAGGCAGCAGUGGGGAAUAUUGCACAAUGGGCGGAAGCCUGAUGCAGCAACGCCGCGUGCGGGAUGACGGCCUUCGGGUUGUAAACCGCUGUCGCCUGUGACGAAGCGUGAGUGACGGUAAUGGGUAAAGAAGCACCGGCUAACUACGUG
RNAcentral lists this ribosomal RNA (468 nucleotides) under uncultured bacterium. RNAcentral's name for it is "partial 16S ribosomal RNA". It matches the Rfam family "Bacterial small subunit ribosomal RNA", at positions 28 to 507 of the family's 1533-position model. The record is from RNAcentral.